UACAGAGGGGGCAAGCGUUAUUCGGAAUUAUUGGGCGUAAAGGGCGCGUAGGCGGCCUGGCAAGUGGAAGGUGAAAUCCCUCGGCUUAACCGAGGAACUGCCCUCCAAACUGCUUGGCUUGAGUCCGGGAGAGGUGAGUGGAAUUCCCAGUGUAGCGGUGAAAUGCGUAGAUAUUGGGAGGAACACCGGUGGCGAAGGCGGCAUUCUGGACCGAUAUUGACGCUGAGGAGCGAAAGCCAGGGGAGCAAACGGG
This 253-nucleotide ribosomal RNA is filed under the name uncultured bacterium. RNAcentral describes it as "partial 16S ribosomal RNA". It matches the Rfam family "Bacterial small subunit ribosomal RNA", at positions 524 to 776 of the family's 1533-position model. The record is from RNAcentral.